GUACUUGCUUCGGCAGCACAUAUACUAAAACUGGAACAAUACAAAGAAGAUUAGCAUGGCCCCUGAGCAAGGAGGACACACAAAUCCGUGGAGCCUUCCAUAUUUUU
Delphinapterus leucas (beluga whale) is the source of this 107-nucleotide small nuclear RNA. The record is from Ensembl. NCBI's taxonomy places the organism in Eukaryota, Metazoa, Chordata, Mammalia, Artiodactyla, Monodontidae.